CUCUUUUUAUCAGCAGACUGAGAGGAAAUAAGUGGAGUUGUGAAUCCAGCUACUUUCAUGGGAGAUGGACUCGAAGUUGAGAUAAGUCUUUUCCACUCGAACUAAUGGGACUGGAACAGCUAAUUCCCUUUCCUCUGUGAGGAUUUCAGAGCCUGAACAAACUCUCACUGACCCCAGGAGCAGUGUCUCCUCAGCCAUUCCAACCUUAGCAAUCAGAAGACAGAAAACAUCCAAAGACAGCAUGACAAUGAUAGGGAGACAUGGUGACAUGUUCAGUGUACCACAAGCAAAGAUCACCCUCUAGAGGUUUAAGGUGAUCUCAUAGGCUGCUUUCUAUUGCUGUGAUAAAGACCAUGACUAGAAACAGCUCAGGGAAGAAAGGGUUUAUUUGGUUUAUAGGUUAUAGACCAUUAUGAAGGAAAGUUGGGACAGGAAUCUAAAGGCAAGAACUGAAGCAGAGACCAUGGAGGAAUGUUCCUUAUUGGUUUGCUCCUCAUGGCUUGCUCAACAUGCUUUUCUUAUAGAACCCAGAAUCACCAGCACAGGGGUAGCCCUACCCACAAUGGGUUGGGCCCUCCCCCAUCAAUCACUAAUCCAAAAGAUACUCUACAGGCUUGCCUACAGCCAAAUCUUAUGGAGGCAUUUUCUUAAUUGGGGUUCCAUUUUCUAACAUGACCCUAGCUGAGUCAAGUCAAUAAAAAAAUAAAAAGCUAAGCAGCACAGUUGAGAUAGAGAAAUAGCUCAGGUUGAUAGUGUUCGCCUUGUAAGUAUGGGGAUCUGAGCUUAGGUAACCAGGAUCCACAUAAAAAAAAAAAAAAGCUGAGUGUGAUUGUGUAAGCCUGGAAAUCCCAGAGAUGGCAGGAAAUUAAGAUAGGCAGAUUCCUGGAAGCUUGCUGUCCUGCUAGCCUGCUUGGCAAAGUUCUAGGCCAGUGAGAGACCCUGAGUCAAAGAAAAUAAGAAAAGCACCAAAGGACUGACACUUGAGGUCUUCCUCUGACCUCCACAUGAGGGUCAUGCACACUUGAACACACAUGUGUACUCAUGAGCGUGUACCCCAAAAGUACACCAUGCAUGCACAUGGUGCUUUCAUAGGAAAGCCAGCUUAAUGUUAUCUUCCCAAGUGUCUUCACCUAGAACCCUCUCUGUGUGACAUCUGUAAACACCCAGGGUCCUGCAGAAUCUAGAAAAAGAAACAGUGAGAUAGAGACCAUCCGAUUCUCUAAGCCCCAAGCACCACCCACAAUUGCACCCUUUCUAGGGCCUAAGGAGCCAGCUGCUAUGCCCUGGCCUCUUCUUCCUUUGCUGUCAACACUAGCUGUUACUUCACCUACUUUGGCAGUCCAAAUAAUAUGCUCAGGUAUAGGUGAGGUGGCACAGGGGGUCCCUGGAGGGCAAGGCAUGAUUGCUGUCUUUGACCAGUCAGAGGCCACUGUUCCCUGUCUCUAGAAACUUAUUUGACUAACUCAGCACAGGAUGUCCCUGGAGGGCAAGGCAUGAUUGCUGUCUUUGCCCAGUAAGAGGCCACUACUCUCUGUCUCUAGAAACUUCUUUGACUAACUCUCAAAGCCACAGGCUCAGCUGGAGUUAGAAUCAAGAAAAAUGAAAGGCAAUAUGUAUUAAAAUUCAAACUUGGAAAUCCUGGUAACCGGGAGACAUGGCAACAGAUGGACCCGUGUCUCAGAGUGACAGUGAGCUGCUGUCUAGUGCAGGGACUCCCAGGUGGAUGGACUGUGUGCCAUGGGCCCCAGCUGUCCUCGUCUGGGAUGCAGACACCCUGCCUUCCUGUGCCUUUGGCUGCCGUUUCAGCCAUCACAAGCAGUUGACAGCUUGUCGGCACUCUGACACCCUUGAGAACCUUGCUGCUCUGGUCCUGCAGGUGGGGAGGUCUAAAACUCCUUUGGAGCUGCUUUACAGGUCAAAUGCUGGAAUUUCAAUGUCAGACUAUGUGACCAGCCCAACAGAGAGCUUGCUUUAGAUUCUGGUGAGUUAAUCUGUGUGUGUGUGUGUGUGUGUGUGUGUGUGUGUGUGUGUGUGAGAGAGAGAGAGAGAGAGAGAGAGAGAGAGGAGAAAGUGUGUGUGUGUGUGUGUGUGUGUGUGUGUGUGUGUAUCUGAGAAAGAGAAAGAGAGGAGAGAGAGUUUUGUAUUUGGGUAUGCGUGUGUGUGUGUGUGUGUGUGUGUGUGUGUGAGAGAGAGAGAGAGAGAGAGAGAGAGAGAGAGAGAGGAGAAAGUGUGUGUGUGUGUGUGUGUGUGUGUGUGUGUGUGUAUCUGAGAAAGAGAAAGAGAGGAGAGAGAGUUUUGUAUUUAGGUAUGCGUGUGUGUGUGUGUGUGUGUGUGUGUGUGUGAGAGAGAGAGAGAGAGAGAGAGAGAGAGAGGAGAAAGUGUGUGUGUGUGUGUGUGUGUGUGUGUGUGUGUAUCAGAAAGAGAAAGAGAGGAGAGAGAGUUUUGUAUUUGGGUAUGCGUGUGUGUGUAUGUGUGUGUGUGUGUGUGUGUGUGUGUGUGUGUGUGUAGGCUAGACAUUAACCUUGGUUACUGUUCAGGAGCCAUCCACCCUGCACUGGCCUGGGGCUCCCUAUUUUCCUUGGUUGUAUGGUCCAGAAUCUCAGUAAUCUGCCUAUCUCUACACUCUGAAAACUGGGAUUCUAAGUGCACACUACCACACCCAGCUUUUCUUCCUGGGGAUCAGACUCCAUUCUUCUCCCUGAUGCCCAGUGAUACUAUCACCAUUCAACAAGGACAAGUCAUGCUUAGGACACAAUGGAG
Molecule: long non-coding RNA, 2760 nt
Filed under: Cricetulus griseus (Chinese hamster)
Lineage: Eukaryota; Metazoa; Chordata; Mammalia; Rodentia; Cricetidae
Description: lncRNA (ENSCGRG00015035106.1)
Source: RNAcentral